Molecule: long non-coding RNA, 476 nt
Filed under: Homo sapiens (human)
Lineage: Eukaryota; Metazoa; Chordata; Mammalia; Primates; Hominidae
Description: HSALNT0252410
Source: RNAcentral
CAGGUGUUGGGAGAAGUGACGCAAGACCCUGGAAGAAGGCCAACGUAUAAAACCCCAAGUCAAAAGGUCAAGCUGUGCAUUUGUCUUUCAAGUUUUCUGCUUUGCUGUCUUCCAAGUGCACCUUCCUUUCAUUCCUGCUGUAAAACUUGCCUCAGUCUUUCCUGCCUGAUACCCCUCAAGCAAAUGCCUCCUUCUUCUGAGGAGGCAAGAAUUGAGGUUGCUGCAGACCUGAUAUGGAUUUUCCACCGCUAACAUAUUUUGGUGCUGUGUGACUCAGAUAAGGAAAUUGAGGCUCAGUGUUGGCAGGUAACAUGUUCAAGAUCUUGAAACUAGCAGGUGGCAGAGCUGGGGUUCAUCUGUCUCCAUGUGCUCAGAGAUAAAGAGAAGAGAAUCUUCUCUCAAGAAUUCCUGUGCCCACAGGGAAAGGUUCAUAGUUCAUCUCAUCCUCAGACUAAGAUGUCCAAAAUAAUGCUGAA